RNAcentral lists this ribosomal RNA (137 nucleotides) under Bison antiquus (ancient bison). RNAcentral describes it as "partial 12S ribosomal RNA". The record is from RNAcentral. Lineage: Eukaryota; Metazoa; Chordata; Mammalia; Artiodactyla; Bovidae.
CUAGAGGAGCCUGUUCUAUAACCGAUAAACCUUACCAACCCUUGCCAAUUCAGCCUAUAUACCGCCAUCUUCAGCAAACCCUAAAAAGGAACAAAAGUAAGCACAAUCAUAGCACAUAAAAACGUUAGGUCAAGGUG